Molecule: ribosomal RNA, 442 nt
Filed under: uncultured bacterium
Lineage: Bacteria
Description: partial 16S ribosomal RNA
Rfam family: Bacterial small subunit ribosomal RNA
Source: RNAcentral
CCUACGGGCGGCAGCAGUAGGGAAUCUUUCACAAUGGGCGAAAGCCUGAUGGAGCAACGCCGCGUGCAGGAUGAAGGCCUUCGGGUUGUAAACUGCUUUUAUAAGCGAGAAAUAUGAUGGUAACUUAUGAAUAAGGAUCGGCUAACUACGUGCCAGCAGCCGCGGUCAUACGUAGGAUCCGAGCAUUAUCCGGAGUGACUGGGUGUAAAGAGUUGCGUAGGUGGCAUAAUAAGUAGCUAGUGAAAUCUGGUGGCGCAACCAUUCAGACUAUUAGCUAAACUGUUAAGCUCGAGACCGUUAGGGGGAACUGGAAUUGCUAGUGUAGGGGUGAAAUCCGUAGAUAUUAGAAGGAACACCAAUAGCGUAGGCAGGUUGCUGGGACGGUUCUGACACUAAGGCACGAAAGCGUAGGGAGCAAACGGGAUUAGAUACCCGAGUAGUC